Molecule: ribosomal RNA, 483 nt
Filed under: uncultured bacterium
Lineage: Bacteria
Description: partial 16S ribosomal RNA
Rfam family: Bacterial small subunit ribosomal RNA
Source: RNAcentral
AUUGAACGCUGGCGGCAGGCCUAACACAUGCAAGUCGAGCGGAUGAAGGGAGCUUGCUCCUGGAUUCAGCGGCGGACGGGUGAGUAAUGCCUAGGAAUCUGCCUGGUAGUGGGGGAUAACGUCCGGAAACGGGCGCUAAUACCGCAUACGUCCUGAGGGAGAAAGUGGGGGAUCUUCGGACCUCACGCUAUCAGAUGAGCCUAGGUCGGAUUAGCUAGUUGGUGGGUAAAGGCCUACCAAGGCGACGAUCCGUAACUGGUCUGAGAGGAUGAUCAGUCACACUGGAACUGAGACACGGCCCAGACUCCUACGGGAGGCAGCAGUGGGGAAUAUUGGACAAUGGGCGAAAGCCUGAUCCAGCCAUGCCGCGUGUGUGAAGAAGGUCUUCGGAUUGUAAAGCACUUUAAGUUGGGAGGAAGGGCAGUAAGUUAAUACCUUGCUGUUUUGACGUUACCAACAGAAUAAGCACCGGCUAACUUCGUG